GGUCCUGUAGCUCAGCGGGAGAGCGUCCGCCUCACACGCGGAAGGUCGCUGGUUCGAUCCCAGUCGGGACCAC
Molecule: transfer RNA, 73 nt
Filed under: Mycobacterium xenopi
Lineage: Bacteria; Bacillati; Actinomycetota; Actinomycetes; Mycobacteriales; Mycobacteriaceae
Also listed under: 2 other names
Description: tRNA-Val(cac)
Rfam family: tRNA
About the family: Transfer RNA (tRNA) molecules are approximately 80 nucleotides in length. Their secondary structure includes four short double-helical elements and three loops (D, anti-codon, and T loops).
Source: RNAcentral